Molecule: transfer RNA, 68 nt
Filed under: Luteimonas sp. MC1895
Lineage: Bacteria; Pseudomonadati; Pseudomonadota; Gammaproteobacteria; Lysobacterales; Lysobacteraceae
Description: tRNA-Ile
Rfam family: tRNA
About the family: Transfer RNA (tRNA) molecules are approximately 80 nucleotides in length. Their secondary structure includes four short double-helical elements and three loops (D, anti-codon, and T loops).
Source: RNAcentral
GGCUCAAUGGUUAGAGCGCCGAACUCAUAAUUGGUUGGUUCCAGGUUCGAGUCCUGGGGUGCCCACCA